This is a long non-coding RNA of Sarcophilus harrisii (Tasmanian devil), 276 nucleotides long. RefSeq lists it as uncharacterized. The record is from RefSeq and is a predicted model, not a curated record. The transcript is spliced from 2 exons. NCBI's taxonomy places the organism in Eukaryota, Metazoa, Chordata, Mammalia, Dasyuromorphia, Dasyuridae.
UUUACUUUCUGGCUUGUAAGUCUGAUUCACUGGUAUAUUUGUUUAAACUACUCAAGUCAGAGAAGUGAAAUCCACUGUGUCAGAUAAUUAAAAAAUGUCUUUCAGAUUCCAGGAGAGAAAAACUUUGCAUUAUCAGCAUGUUAUAAUGGGGGGAAAAUGCUGGAAUUGGAAUCAGAAGACUUGUUUUCAAGGAUCUCUUCUAUUAGUUGUGUGAAUCUAGGUGUAGCUGCACUGCUGAGCACUGCUGGCCUGGACAAGAAAGUAGAAGCAUACCUG